RNAcentral lists this ribosomal RNA (492 nucleotides) under uncultured bacterium. Its description in RNAcentral is "partial 16S ribosomal RNA". It matches the Rfam family "Bacterial small subunit ribosomal RNA", at positions 29 to 507 of the family's 1533-position model. The record is from RNAcentral.
AGUGAACGCUGGCGGUAGGCCUAACACAUGCAAGUCGAACGGCAGCACAGUAAGAGCUUGCUCUUACGGGUGGCGAGUGGCGGACGGGAGAGGAAUACAUCGGAAUCUACUUUUUCGUGGGGGAUAACGUAGGGAAACUUACGCUAAUACCGCAUACGACCUACGGGUGAAAGCAGGGGAUCUUCGGACCUUGCGCGAUUGAAUGCGCCGAUGUCGGAUUAGCUAGUUGGCGGGGUAAAGGCCCACCAAGGCGACGAUCCGUAGCUGGUCUGAGAGGAUGAUCAGCCACACUGGAACUGGGACACGGUCCAGACUCCUACGGGAGGCAGCAGUGGGGAAUAUUGGACAAUGGGCGCAAGCCUGAUCCAGCCAUACCGCGUGGGUGAAGAAGGCGUUCGGGUUGUAAAGCCCUUUUGUUGGGAAAGAAAAGCAGCAGGUUAAUACCCCGCUGUUCUGACGGUACCCAAAGAAUAAGCACCGGCUAACUUCGUG